GACGAACGCUGGCGGCGUGCUUAACACAUGCAAGUCGAACGAUGAAGUUCCUUCGGGGAUGGAUUAGUGGCGAACGGGUGAGGAACACGUGAAGAAUCUGCCCUCCACUUUGGGAUAACUCCGGGAAACCGGGGCUAAUACCGAAUAUUGAAACAUAGACGGCAUCGUCGAGUUUUGAAAGAAUUUCGGUGGAGGAUGACUUCGCGGCCUAUCAGCUUGUUGGUGAGGUAAUGGCUCACCAAGGCGACGACGGGUAGCCGGCCUGAGAGGGCGACCGGCCACACUGGGACUGAGACACGGCCCAGACUCCUACGGGAGGCAGCAGUGGGGAAUAUUGGGCAAUGGACGCAAGUCUGACCCAGCGACGCCGCGUGCGGGAUGAAGGCCUUCGGUUGUAAACUGCUUUGUACGAACGGAACGGUGAGCUCUAAUAC
This 434-nucleotide ribosomal RNA is filed under the name uncultured bacterium. Its description in RNAcentral is "bacterial SSU rRNA". It matches the Rfam family "Bacterial small subunit ribosomal RNA", at positions 28 to 466 of the family's 1533-position model. The record is from RNAcentral.